AGUUGGUGGAGUGAUUUGUCUGGUUAAUUCCGUUAACGAACGAGACCUCAGCCUGCUAAAUAGUUAUGCGAAUCUCUCUACUCAAGGUAGCGGCGGCGGGGCGGGCUGGGGAGACCCGGACUGCUUUCGCCAAGGCGCCUGGUUAGAUUCGUAGGCAACUUCUUAGAGGGACUAACGGUGUUUAGCCGUUGGAAGUUUGAGGCAAUAACAGG
RNAcentral lists this ribosomal RNA (212 nucleotides) under uncultured eukaryote. RNAcentral describes it as "partial small subunit ribosomal RNA". It matches the Rfam family "Eukaryotic small subunit ribosomal RNA", at positions 1296 to 1460 of the family's 1831-position model. The record is from RNAcentral.